UACGUAGGUGGCGAGCGUUGUCCGGAUUUACUGGGCGUAAAGGGAGCGUAGGCGGACUUUUAAGUGAGAUGUGAAAUACUCGGGCUCAACUUGAGUGCUGCAUUUCAAACUGGAAGUCUAGAGUGCAGGAGAGGAGAAUGGAAUUCCUAGUGUAGCGGUGAAAUGCGUAGAGAUUAGGAAGAAAACCAGUGGCGAAGGCGAUUCUCUGGACUGUAACUGACGCUGAGGCUCGAAAGCGUGGGGAGCAAACAGG
This 253-nucleotide ribosomal RNA is filed under the name uncultured bacterium. Its description in RNAcentral is "partial 16S ribosomal RNA". It matches the Rfam family "Bacterial small subunit ribosomal RNA", at positions 524 to 776 of the family's 1533-position model. The record is from RNAcentral.